This is a long non-coding RNA of Cyprinus carpio (common carp), 1251 nucleotides long. Lineage: Eukaryota; Metazoa; Chordata; Actinopteri; Cypriniformes; Cyprinidae. The record is from Ensembl.
AUGGCCCCAAGAAAUGCGCGUAAUAAUUUCUACAUUUUGGGCUCCGGUAGCGGGAAUGGCAACGCUGGGACCAAAGGCAUGUCGGAAUGGAUAGGCUUGUCCUUGUGCCGAAAAUGUGUUGACUUGGACGGAGUGUGGACCAAGUGUCUGAUAUCUGUUGGAAUUACAUUGCUCCUGGUGCCGUCCAUAUUUGCCAUAGACGAUGAAGCAAGACUCGAGGCAUCAGGACAACCCCUCAGUCCUUCCCAGGAUCCAACCGGCGGCCCAAACAUCACAGUCUCUUCGUCACUGCUGGAGGACGAAGACUUCGCCUCGCAGUACCACUCUCCAUCAGCGAGGGCAGAAAGCACAAGGGAGCAGCCUGUGUUUGCCUCGGUGCAGACCCUGCAGGUUGCAGAGACACAGCCUCAGGCGCUGGUGUAUUCUCUGCCCUCCCCACCCGGCAACAGUGACAAUCGCACCAAUCAAAAGUCCCCUGGGGAGCAGGCCGUCAAAGUGCCAAAUCCACCGUCCCCGGCACAUAAACUCAACAGUGUCUUGACCACUAGCUCAGACGAGACUCUUAGUGAAUUCCCCAGAAACCCUGAUCUUCCCACCGCCCCGGGAUCCUCUUUCAUGAUUGUGGCAGAGACAGAUGCUACACUCUCUGACAAUGUGACAACUUCAGUCUCCUUUUCCGCUUUUAACGGCACUUCUCCUGAAAGAGCUGAAAACGCUUCAUCCGGCGCUUCAGCAAGCAGCAACUCCCACACUGUGACCAGCGACAAUCUCCAGCUCACCACAGUGACCACCACGACUGUCACGCCCUUAACUGUGACAUCAAUGACUGUGACUCCACCCACUGCCAUUGUUGUGGCAAAAGAGGUCGCGACCACCAUACCAACCACCACAGCCACCCAGACCACAACAACCGAGACAGAACCACCAACGACAACCACCACUACCACUACAACAACUACCACCACCACAAAAGUAGCACCAACAACCACAAAAACACCCACAACCACUUUAGCAACGACAACCCCUCUUCAAACCACUGUUGUAUCUACCUCUGGAAGUACCACGACUGAACAGAGCACCCCUCCUACUGACAGUUCACCUUUGACCUGUAACGUGACCGAAAGAUUAUGGGUGAAAACAGGUGAGCCUUUGUUUACUGUAUGAGUGCCUCUGCCUUGUUUUUAGUGAUAAUUCACUAAAGAAAUCAGACAAAUUUAGUAAUGGCACAAAUACGCCACAAAUCAGUGUAAA